CCUACGGGAGACAGCAGUGGGGAAUAUUGGGCAAUGGAGGCAACUCUGACCCAGCAACGCCGCGUGAAUGAUGAAGGUCUUCGGAUUGUAAAGUUCUGUGAUGGGGGAUGAAAACAAUGACGGGACCCCAAUAGCAAGCCACGGCUAACUACGGGCCAGCAGCCGCGGGAAUACGUAGGUGGCAAGCGUUAUGCGGAAUGACUGGGCGUAAAGGGUGAGUAGGUGGUUUAGGAAGUUGGCGGUGUAAGUCAGGGGCUCCACCUCGGCGCUACCGCCCAAACUAUUAGACUAGAGUGCAGGGGUGGUAAGUGGCAUUCCUAGUGUAGCGGUGUAAUGCGUAGAUCUUA
Molecule: ribosomal RNA, 347 nt
Filed under: uncultured bacterium
Lineage: Bacteria
Description: partial 16S ribosomal RNA
Rfam family: Bacterial small subunit ribosomal RNA
Source: RNAcentral